This 252-nucleotide non-coding RNA is filed under the name Bacillota bacterium. Its description in RNAcentral is "Firmicutes bacterium T-box sequence". It matches the Rfam family "T-box leader". From Rfam's summary of the family: Uncharged tRNA acts as the effector for transcription antitermination of genes in the T-box leader family. T-boxes are found upstream of many aminoacyl-tRNA synthetase genes and some amino acid biosynthetic genes usually in Gram-positive bacteria. The anticodon of a specific tRNA base pairs to a specifier sequence within the T-box motif, and the NCCA acceptor tail of the tRNA base pairs to a conserved bulge in the T-box antiterminator hairpin. Lineage: Bacteria; Bacillati; Bacillota. The record is from RNAcentral.
ACUAAAGCGAUGAAGAGGAAGAGUACAGAUGUAACUGACAACAGAGAGCUGCUGGCUGGUGGGAAGUGGCGGAGGAAGCAUUUGGAACUGACCUUGGAGCAGCUGCCUGAACGGUAUCAAGUAGGAGCAGACGGGACCCUGCCGUUAUUUUAGGGACGGAUAUAAGGUUUCAUCCCGUAUCUGACAGAGUGCAUGGGAAUCCAUGAAUGAGAGUGGUACCGCGCAGGAAGAAUAAAUUCCUCCGUCUCUUGG